UUCUUCUUCUCUCCUCUUCACCAUUUUCGUUCUUGUUCCCCCUAAUCAUGCAAAUCCUCUCCAUCAAGGAAUAAAAUCUCCUGAUUUUUCCUCUUACAAAUUAGGGCUUUGUAUUCCCAGUCUCUCACCACUCUUGUCGCCGUCCUUUGAGGUCCAGCCACUGCCGCCAGGUGCCGCCACGUUCAACCUAAGGAUACUGCCGAUUCUGCCCAUUAUUGUUCAGCUCUUUGCUCUUCUGCCAUUUCUGUAUUAUAAAGAUGUAAUGUCCUGUAGUACUUAAGAAUGAAACUUGAGGAACGCCCACACACCAGCCUGCCCCUCUCGUUGCAACCAAUAUCGGGCAUAAACAUGCCAAGCAAGCUAGAUUUACUAUGCAAUUUCUACUUCCAUUCAUACGACCUUAAUAUC
This is a long non-coding RNA of Juglans microcarpa x Juglans regia, 408 nucleotides long. RefSeq lists it as uncharacterized. The transcript has 3 exons. NCBI's taxonomy places the organism in Eukaryota, Viridiplantae, Streptophyta, Magnoliopsida, Fagales, Juglandaceae. The record is from RefSeq and is a predicted model, not a curated record.